UAGCUCAGCGGCAUAAGCACCUGCCUUGCAAGCAGGCAGUCCUGAGUUCGAUCCUCAG
RNAcentral lists this transfer RNA (58 nucleotides) under Cavia porcellus (domestic guinea pig). It matches the Rfam family "tRNA", at positions 8 to 63 of the family's 71-position model. From Rfam's summary of the family: Transfer RNA (tRNA) molecules are approximately 80 nucleotides in length. Their secondary structure includes four short double-helical elements and three loops (D, anti-codon, and T loops). Further hydrogen bonds mediate the characteristic L-shaped molecular structure. tRNAs have two regions of fundamental functional importance: the anti-codon, which is responsible for specific mRNA codon recognition, and the 3' end, to which the tRNAs corresponding amino acid is attached (by aminoacyl-tRNA synthetases). tRNAs cope with the degeneracy of the genetic code in two manners: having more than one tRNA (with a specific anti-codon) for a particular amino acid; and 'wobble' base-pairing, i.e. permitting non-standard base-pairing at the 3rd anti-codon position. Lineage: Eukaryota; Metazoa; Chordata; Mammalia; Rodentia; Caviidae. The record is from Rfam by way of RNAcentral.